This 852-nucleotide long non-coding RNA is filed under the name Marmota monax (woodchuck). The record is from RNAcentral. Lineage: Eukaryota; Metazoa; Chordata; Mammalia; Rodentia; Sciuridae.
GGUUUAUAAUUACAGCUAUUUAAAGAGUUAGAGUUAGGUCUAGGUCUAGUGUUAAGGUUAGGUUUACUGUGAUGAUGAUGUUUAGAGCCAGGGUUACUGUUAGAUUCAGAAUCAAGGUCAGGGUUAUUUUUUGGGUUAGGGUUAGACUAUAAUUAGGGAUAGAAUUAGGGCUAGGUGUAGGGUUAGGGUUUGUUUUAGGAUAAGGGUUAAGGUUAGGGCUAUGACUCUGUUGAGUUUUGUUUUAGGGCUACGGGUAGGGUUAGGGUUAGUUUUAAGAUUAGUCUUAAGGUUAGGGCUACAGUGUGAAAUUUAGGCUUAGGUUAAGAAUUAGGGAUAAGAGUAGAGUUAUGGUUAGAUUUAGUCUUAGGGUUAGGGUUAAAUUUAGAGUUAGGUUUAGAUCUAGGUUUUGAGAAAGGGCUAAGUAUAGGACUAGGGUAGGGCUACGUUUAGCGCUAGGUGUAUGCUGAUGGUAAGGAAUAGGGUUAGAACUAGGUAUAGGGCUAGUUUGAGAGUUAGAGUUAGUCUUAGGGCUAGGGUUAGGGUUCAGGAUAGGGCUAGAUUAGGGAUAGGAUUAGGGCUAGUGUUAGUGUUAGGGUUAGGCCUAGGGUUAGAGCUAGGGUUGGUGUUAGGUUUAGGGUUAGGGUUAGGUUUAGGGUAAUGGAUGGGAAUAUAGCUACUCUUAGGACUAGGGUGAGUUUUAGGGUUAAGGUUAGGGCUAACAUUAGGGUUAGUGUUAUGAUUAAGGCGAGGUUCAUAGGUAGGAUGUGGGCUAAGUUUUGUAUUAGGGUUAGGGUUAGGAUUAGAGCUAGGGUUAAUUUCAGAUCUAAGAUGCAGUUAGGGAUAGUUUUAGGU